RNAcentral lists this microRNA precursor (87 nucleotides) under Octodon degus (degu). RNAcentral's name for it is "miRNA (ENSODEG00000022053.1)". The record is from RNAcentral. Lineage: Eukaryota; Metazoa; Chordata; Mammalia; Rodentia; Octodontidae.
UCCUCUUCCUUUGUGGGCUGGCCUCUCCUCCUAUACCGGAGGAAACUAACCCUGUGUGGACAAACACGACAAUGCUGACACUCAGAA